Molecule: long non-coding RNA, 402 nt
Organism: Oncorhynchus tshawytscha (Chinook salmon)
Lineage: Eukaryota; Metazoa; Chordata; Actinopteri; Salmoniformes; Salmonidae
Source: Ensembl
CUCAGAUGGAUGAUGAGCUGUGCCUGGUUUUCUUCAGACAUAGCAUUUUUGCGUUCAGGCCAAAGAGUUACAUUUAGUCUCAUCAGACCACAGAAUAUUUUGUCUUUAUGCCCUUUAGUCUUUCACGUGCCUUUUUACAAACUCCAGGCGUGCUGUCAUGUACCUUUUUACAAACUCCAGGUGUGCUGUCAUGUACCUUUUUUACAAACUCCAGGUGUGCUGUCAUGUACCUUUUUUACAAACUCCAGGUGUGCUGUCAUGUACCUUUUUACAAACUCCAGGUGUGCUGUCAUGUACCUUUUUUACAAACUCCAGGUGUGCUGUCAUAUACCUUUUUACAAACUCCAGGUGUGCUGUCAUGUACCUUUUUCUCAGGAGUGGCUUCCGUCUGGCCACUCUCCC